Molecule: small nucleolar RNA, 70 nt
Filed under: Salmo trutta (river trout)
Lineage: Eukaryota; Metazoa; Chordata; Actinopteri; Salmoniformes; Salmonidae
Source: RNAcentral
UUCUAUGAAGAUAACUUUGUCCAGUUCUGCUACUGAGUGACUGAUUGAUUGAUAUUUUUGACUCUGAGAA